GUGGGGAAUCUUGCGCAAUGGGCGAAAGCCUGACGCGGCCAUGCCGCGUGAAUGAUGAAGGUCUUAGGAUUGUAAAAUUCUUUCACCGGGGACGAUAAUGACGGUACCCGGAGAAGAAGCUCCGGCUAACUUCGUGCCAGCAGCCGCGGUAAUACGAAGGGGGCUAGCGUUGCUCGGAAUUACUGGGCGUAAAGGGCGCGUAGGCGGACAGCUUAGUCAGAGGUGAAAGCCCAGGGCUCAACCUUGGAAUUGCCUUUGAUACUGGCUGUCUUGAGUUUGGGAGAGGUGAGUGGAACUCCGGGUGGAGAGGUGAAAUUCGUAGAUAUUCGGAAGAACACCAGUGGCGAAGGCGACUCACUGGCCCAAUACUGACGCUGAGGCGCGAAAGCGUGGGGAGCAAACAGGAUUAGAUACCCCAGUAGUCC
This 425-nucleotide ribosomal RNA is filed under the name uncultured bacterium. RNAcentral's name for it is "partial 16S ribosomal RNA". It matches the Rfam family "Bacterial small subunit ribosomal RNA", at positions 354 to 796 of the family's 1533-position model. The record is from RNAcentral.